UACGUAGGGGGCAAGCGUUGUCCGGAAUUAUUGGGCGUAAAGAGCGCGUAGGCGGUCCGAUAAGUCGGCUGGGAAAGUCAGGGGCUCAACCCUUGGAAGCCGGCCGAUACUGUCGGACUAGAGUCCGGAAGAGGCGAGUGGAAUUCCCGGUGUAGCGGUGAAAUGCGCAGAUAUCGGGAGGAACACCAAUGGCGAAGGCAGCUCGCUGGGACGGUACUGACGCUGAGGCGCGAAAGCGUGGGGAGCAAACAGG
RNAcentral lists this ribosomal RNA (253 nucleotides) under uncultured bacterium. Its description in RNAcentral is "partial 16S ribosomal RNA". It matches the Rfam family "Bacterial small subunit ribosomal RNA", at positions 524 to 776 of the family's 1533-position model. The record is from RNAcentral.